RNAcentral lists this ribosomal RNA (522 nucleotides) under uncultured bacterium. RNAcentral describes it as "bacterial SSU rRNA". It matches the Rfam family "Bacterial small subunit ribosomal RNA", at positions 24 to 518 of the family's 1533-position model. The record is from RNAcentral.
UCAGGACGAACGCUGGCGGCGUGCCUAAUACAUGCAAGUCGAACGGUCUUUCUAUGGAAGCUUGCUUCCACUGAGAAGAUAGUGGCGAACGGGUGAGUAACACGUGGGUAACCUGCCCAUAAGAGGGGGGAUAACAUCCGGAAACGGGUGCUAAUACCGCAUAGUUUUCUUGAUCGCAUGAUCGGGAAAGGAAAGACGGCCUUUGUGCUGUCGCUUAUGGAUGGACCCGCGGCGUAUUAGUUAGUUGGUGAGGUAACGGCUCACCAAGACGAUGAUACGUAGCCGACCUGAGAGGGUGAUCGGCCACAUUGGGACUGAGACACGGCCCAAACCCCUACGGGAGGCAGCAGUAGGGAAUCUUCCGCAAUGGACGAAAGUCUGACGGAGCAACGCCGCGUGAGUGAAAGAAGGUUUUCGGAUCGUAAAACUCUGUUGUCAGAGAAGAACAAGUUGGAGAGUAACUGCUCCAGCCUUGACGGUAUCUGACCAGAAAGCCACGGCUAACUACGUGCCAGCCGCCGC